This 333-nucleotide ribosomal RNA is filed under the name uncultured Acholeplasma sp. RNAcentral's name for it is "bacterial SSU rRNA". It matches the Rfam family "Bacterial small subunit ribosomal RNA", at positions 1047 to 1382 of the family's 1533-position model. Lineage: Bacteria; Bacillati; Mycoplasmatota; Mollicutes; Acholeplasmatales; Acholeplasmataceae. The record is from RNAcentral.
GGUUGUCGUCAGCUCGUGUCGUGAGAUGUUGGUUAAGUCCCGCAACGAGCGCAACCCUUAUUGCUAGUUACCAUCAUUCAGUUGGGGACUCUAGCGAGACUGCCAGUGAUAAACUGGAGGAAGGUGGGGAUGACGUCAAAUCAUCAUGCCCCUUAUGACCUGGGCUACAAACGUGAUACAAUGGCUGAAACAAAGGGCAGCGAAGGAGCGAUCUGGAGCGAAACCCAAAAAAGCAGUCUCAGUUCGGAUUGAAGUCUGCAACUCGACUUCAUGAAGUCGGAAUCGCUAGUAAUCGCGGAUCAGAACGCCGCGGUGAAUACGUUCUCGGGGUUU